RNAcentral lists this ribosomal RNA (257 nucleotides) under uncultured bacterium. RNAcentral's name for it is "partial 16S ribosomal RNA". It matches the Rfam family "Bacterial small subunit ribosomal RNA", at positions 71 to 334 of the family's 1533-position model. The record is from RNAcentral.
UUGCUUUCUUUUGCUGGCGACCGGCGCACGGGUGAGUAACACUAUCCAACCUGCCCUUUACUCGGGGAUAGCCUUUCGAAAGAAAGAUUAAUACCCGAUAGCAUAAUGAUUCCGCAUGGUUUCAUUAUUAAAGGAUUCCGGUAAAGGAUGGGGAUGCGUUCCAUUAGGUUGUUGGUGGGGUAACGGCCCACCAAGCCUUCGAUGGAUGGGGGUUCUGAGAGGAAGGUCCCCCACAUUGGAACUGAGACACGGUCCAA